CACAGUUACAACGUAACAAAGCUGCUAGUAAUGAAAGAAUUGUCAUACAGCUAUGGAGCAUUUUUGUUUUCAUUUUUUCUUGUGUAGUUUACAGACGUUUGUUGUAAUUUUAUGCUUUUUUUUCUUAACAGCAACUACAACAACACCUGAACCAACAACAGCAGCAGAAACUUCCACCAGAGUAGAAACCAGCACAACAGCCAUUGUAACAACAACUCCAUGGACAGCACCGGCGAUAUUUUAUCCAUUUGGCGCAGAGAAAGGAGACACUGAAAUUCUUGAAAGUGGUUAUGAUACCUACGAACAGUGUUGGGGAGUAACUAGUUACAUGUAACGGAAUUACGUAAUUUAAUUACAAAAUAAAUGUAAUUGUAAUUAGUUACAGUUACUGAGAAAAAAUAUGUAAUUAAAUUACAGUUACUUUUGAAAAAUGCCAGUGAUUACAAAGGGGAUUACAUCUGAAUUUUUUCACACACCCACCCCCACUUACAGAUUUAAUUGACUUCUUUUAAAUUGCAUUGACUGCUCUAAAAUGAGACAGCAGUGUUUCAGGAGUUUGGGACACAGAAUAGGACACAUGCUUAUUCGAUAACUGUUUUAUUUCCUAUUUGGGUUUAUGCAUAAACUUUAUUUUUUAAGAUUGUUUUUUUUCCAAGGCAUUGUUAGAUGCUAGUGUUUUCUGUCUUAACUAUGCAAACAUUUGAUUUCAAACCCAGUAUCAUAGCUAUUAAACUAUUUUUUGUUAUGAUGUUAUUUAUGUUAUGAUCUUAUGACAUAUAGCGCAACUGCGCUCACGGUGACCUGAGUUCGAUCCCCGUCUCAAGGUCCUUUGCCGAUCCCGCUCCCCUCUCUCCUCCCAGCUCUUUCCUGUCAUCUCUCUACUGUCCUAUCACAAUAAAAGGCAUAAAAAGCCCAAAAAUAUAAGUAAAAAAAAAAAAGUCUGAAUUUGUGGUGGCUGUGCUUUAAAUUAAAUUAUUACACAGCUCAGACUCUUUCUGGGGAACUUAAGUCAGUGCUAUAUGCUUGAUAAUAUUUCUUGGCGGAAGCUUUGUGUUUGCUUAGCUAAUAAAAUAUCAAAGCUUAAUUCAAUAUUAUGUGGACAAUUUCUUAAUUCUGUCAUUCUGGUAUCAUGCAGACUUGCUGUAUUUUUUUUUUUUUUUGUACACUGUAAUGGAUUAUAAGAUAACUAACAAACUAGUACUACUAUUUAAUUAUUUAUGUGGUGAAUUGUUGUGUAAGAAAACUGGUUUGACUGCACUGUGUCCCUAAAAUGUCUAGUUUGAACUUGCCAUUUGCUAGCAACUGAUUUCUUCAUGGAAGUGUUUAAAUAUUUCAACUCAGAUCAGUGCUACUGUAAAGUUAACUCUGCCUGGUUUAAAUGUUUCAAAAAGAUUAACAGUUGAAAAUAUUAGAAAUUUAGAAAAGUAAUCAAAAAGUAAUUAAAAGUAAUAAGUUACAUUACUUUAACAAAGUAAUUGAAAAGUUACACUACUUAUUACAUUUUAAAUCAAGUAACUUGUAACUUAAAUCUGUAAC
Molecule: long non-coding RNA, 1536 nt
Organism: Labeo rohita (rohu)
Lineage: Eukaryota; Metazoa; Chordata; Actinopteri; Cypriniformes; Cyprinidae
Exons: 4
Source: RefSeq, a predicted model, not a curated record